AAGAGGGAACCCGGUGGGAAUCCGGGACUGCCCCGCAGCGGUGAGCGGGAACGACCGCCGUCAUACGCACUGGAUCCGGCCAUGGGUCCGGGAAGCGACGGCCAGUAGGUGUCUGCCCCGGCAGACGUGCCCGCGAGUCCGAAGACCU
This 148-nucleotide non-coding RNA is filed under the name Streptomyces varsoviensis. Lineage: Bacteria; Bacillati; Actinomycetota; Actinomycetes; Kitasatosporales; Streptomycetaceae. The record is from RNAcentral.